GAUGAACGCUGGCUACAGGCUUAACACAUGCAAGUCGAGGGGAAACGACGGGGAAGCUUGCUUCCCCGGGCGUCGACCGGCGCACGGGUGAGUAACGCGUAUCCAACCUGCCUCUGACUGAGGGAUAACCCGUCGAAAGUCGGCCUAAUACCUCAUGGUAUCGUCUGCGGGCAUCCAACGACGAUUAAAGAUUUCAUCGGUCAGGGAUGGGGAUGCGUCUGAUUAGCUUGUUGGCGGGGUAACGGCCCACCAAGGCUACGAUCAGUAGGGGUUCUGAGAGGAAGGUCCCCCACAUGGGAACUGAGACACGGUCCAAACUCCUACGGGAGGCAGCAGUGAGGAAUAUUGGUCAAUGGGCGAGAGCCUGAACCAGCCAAGUAGCGUGCAGGAAGACGGCCCUAUGGGUUGUAAACUGCUUUUAGGCGGGGAUAAAGUGAGGGACGUGUCCCUCAUUGCAGGUACCGCAUGAAUAAGGACCGGCUAAUUCCGUG
This 491-nucleotide ribosomal RNA is filed under the name uncultured bacterium. RNAcentral describes it as "partial 16S ribosomal RNA". It matches the Rfam family "Bacterial small subunit ribosomal RNA", at positions 28 to 507 of the family's 1533-position model. The record is from RNAcentral.